This 466-nucleotide ribosomal RNA is filed under the name uncultured bacterium. RNAcentral describes it as "partial 16S ribosomal RNA". It matches the Rfam family "Bacterial small subunit ribosomal RNA", at positions 28 to 507 of the family's 1533-position model. The record is from RNAcentral.
GACGAACGCUGGCGGCGUGCUUAACACAUGCAAGUCGAACGGAAAGGCCCUGCUUGCAGGGUACUCGAGUGGCGAACGGGUGAGUAACACGUGGGUGAUCUGCCCUGCACUUCGGGAUAAGCUUGGGAAACUGGGUCUAAUACCGGAUAGGACCGCACUUUAGUGUGUGUGGUGGAAAGUUUUUUCGGUGUAGGAUGAGCUCGCGGCCUAUAAGCUUGUUGGUGGGGUAAUGGCCUACCAAGGCGGCGACGGGUAGCCGGCAUGAGAGGGUGUACGGCCAGAUUAGACCUGUGAGGGAGGCCGGAGUGCGGAAGGAGGCAGCAGUGGGGAAUAUUUGACAAAGCGAUCAAGCGUGAUGGAGGGAGGCCGCGUGGGGGAUGAAGGCUUUGGGGUUGUAAGAACCGUUGGCGGGGGACAAAGCUUUGUUGUGACGGUACCUAGAGAAGAAGCACCGGCUAACUACGUG